CAGCAGGAGCAGAGAGCAGCAGCAGGAGCAGAGAGCAGCCAUUGCUGUGUCUGGCAGCAGGAUUCUACAGACUUCUCGGCUGGUGGCCGUGACGGAGUUUGGCCUGCAUGACGCAGGGUCUUCUGUCCUGGCGGCUUAGACAUGCAGGGGACGGGGGCGACACCAAUGGACUGCGGAUACAGAGUAAGGAUUACACAGUAGUAAGGAAGACAUCCGGUGAGUGUGAGACACCCAGCAGCCGUCCCCGUGUGUCAGGAGGACUGAGCAGGACCCAGAGCCCCAUCACGUUGCCACCACCUCACUGACUGAUACAUGAGAGGCACAGUGACCAGAAGAUCCUGGAAUUCACCAACAAGAUCAUUCAGCUGCUGACUG
Pseudophryne corroboree (corroboree frog) is the source of this 375-nucleotide long non-coding RNA. RefSeq lists it as uncharacterized. The record is from RefSeq and is a predicted model, not a curated record. The transcript has 3 exons. NCBI's taxonomy places the organism in Eukaryota, Metazoa, Chordata, Amphibia, Anura, Myobatrachidae.